RNAcentral lists this long non-coding RNA (513 nucleotides) under Homo sapiens (human). Its description in RNAcentral is "non-protein coding lnc-CD58-2:2". The record is from RNAcentral. Lineage: Eukaryota; Metazoa; Chordata; Mammalia; Primates; Hominidae.
CUGAUCAUCAGUGAGCCAAGCCUGGAAGCCUGAGCCAUCACCAGCUGGGUGGUAGCCAGCUGUGGCUCAGGGCCACUCUAGAAACACUUGCCUUGGGCUGCAGCUGCCCUGGGCUACUACCCUGAUCCCUAGGAAACGGGGCAUGGGGCAUUUUCCUGAACAGAGCCCUUGCCAAUGCCCAGCAAGAAACCAGUGUGGCACUGGGAUUGGAAAGCCUGGAGUGUGAAUAUGGACUCUGAUGUGCCAACUUACAGAAGAAGCAUAGGCAAGAUUCUUAGUCUCUACAUCAAGCUGAGUCCUUGAAGUGGUCGGAGGGACAAAACAGAAUUCCUGGAGACAGUGUCCUAAGGGAGUGCCAGAGGCACUCAUUUGUUUGACAACUAAUUUUGGAGGCAGGUGCUCUUCCUUGUCUUAGGAUCUUCCAGUCAACAAGGCUGAAAAUCUCCCUGCCUCCUGGAGCUUGCUUCUGUGGAAGAAGGCAGUCAGCAAACACAUGAACAAAGACAAGUUCAG